CGAACGCUGGCGGUAGGCCUAACACAUGCAAGUCGAGCGAUCUCUUCGGAGAUAGCGGCGGACGGGUGAGUAACGCGUGGGCAACCUGCCCUGUAUAAAGGGAUAGCCACUGGAAACGGUGAUUAAUACCUUAUAAGACUACAGAAACACAUGUUUCAGUAGCCAAAGCUCCGGCGAUACAGGAUGGGCCCGCGUUUGAUUAGCUAGUUGGUGAGGUAAUGGCUCACCAAGGCGACGAUCAAUAGCCGACCUGAGAGGGUGAUC
Molecule: ribosomal RNA, 264 nt
Filed under: uncultured bacterium
Lineage: Bacteria
Description: partial 16S ribosomal RNA
Rfam family: Bacterial small subunit ribosomal RNA
Source: RNAcentral